Molecule: ribosomal RNA, 388 nt
Filed under: Clostridioides difficile
Lineage: Bacteria; Bacillati; Bacillota; Clostridia; Peptostreptococcales; Peptostreptococcaceae
Description: bacterial SSU rRNA
Rfam family: Bacterial small subunit ribosomal RNA
Source: RNAcentral
CCAGGGAUAACCUGGAGGAAGGUGGGGAUGACGUCAAUCAUCAUGCCCCUUAUGCUUAGGGCUACACACGUGCUACAAUGGGUAGUACAGAGGGUUGCCAAGCCGUAAGGUGGAGCUAAUCCCUUAAAGCUACUCUCAGUUCGGAUUGUAGGCUGAAACUCGCCUACAUGAAGCUGGAGUUACUAGUAAUCGCAGAUCAGAAUGCUGCGGUGAUGCGUCCCGGGUCUUGUACACACCGCCCGUCACACCACGGGAGUUGGAGACGCCCGAAGCCGAUUAUCUUAACCUUUUGGAAGAAGCGUCGAAGGUGGAAUCAAUAACUGGGGUGAAGUCGUAACAAGGUAGCCGUAUCGGAAGGUGCGGCUGGAUCACCUCCUUUCUAAGGAGA